Long non-coding RNA from Panicum virgatum (switchgrass), 1600 nucleotides. RefSeq lists it as uncharacterized. The transcript is spliced from 2 exons. NCBI's taxonomy places the organism in Eukaryota, Viridiplantae, Streptophyta, Magnoliopsida, Poales, Poaceae. The record is from RefSeq and is a predicted model, not a curated record.
CCGCGGCCUCGGCUAUGCUGAAUGCCUGUGCACGCACACGCUCGGUGCAGCAGUACCGGCCCCUUUAUUCCUUCUUGGCCACCACUAAGCACACGCGGCCGCCGUGACCUCGGGUUGCCGAGCGCCCGCGCGCGUACGCGCCGAACGCCACCUGAGCCGGGACCAAAAGGCCCUGCCUUUGCCUCGCCAACGCCCGCGUCCACCACCGCAGUUGCUGGUCGCCGCGAACCGGGAUACCGGAGCUCGCAUGUGUCAUGACUGAUCAAAAUGACCGGCUUCCCUCGCGCACUCUCUGAUGUUUACACGAAGGCAAGUAAGAGCACCUUCCAAGUUUCUCUCGGUGGAUGGAAACACGCACACACACACUUGAGGAAAACAAAUGCAGGAACACAAACUCUGAGAGGAUCACUAACUCACACAGAAACUCUUCCGUGCUGCACACCAGUACUGUAUUUGUAUUCACCUCCACACACACGCAGUACAAGCUGAUUACACAGUUUAAAUAAACACACUCCACACCACGUCCGGUCCCACCACAUGGCUGAGCACUCGUGGCCUGACCACGCCUCCCUGCAUGCAAGCCACACUUACCUGCAUGCAGAUCACCAUUAACUAACUUGUGCUAACAACUCGUACACGUUGAACAACAAGCUUCAGUCCACUGUUAAUGCAUGCACCCAUAUUAACAAGCUAACCUCUACCUGCUCCUGAACGUGCGCCACCUCACCGCCGCCCCGCCUAGCCGCUACCUUGCCACCGUGCACCGCGGACCUGGAGUGCCAGGACACUGCCAGCACGCGCGCCCGCUUCACCCUGGGCCAAAAGAUCGAGCCUUUCGUCGCCACGUGCCAACAUCCUGCUCAAGGUGCCCCUCGCGGUGCCAUCCCCUUUCGCUGAGCCCGCGACACGCGCGAACCGCACUCAUGCAUGUCGCGACACUCUGGCCCCACGAUGAGACCGCACAUCAAUGUCCGGCAGCUUUCGGCGUCGCUCCGCACUGUGGCACCAUGAUGCUUUGCCGCCCACGCCGGCUUUGCCGGCUCGUCGCACGUGUGGCGACAACGCCGCUCCUCGCUACAGCGUUGGCUCUGUUCUUGCGCCAGUACCCCGUCACGCCGCUGUCGGCCACUGCCUCCUCUUGGUCUAUAAAAGGGCGCAUUCGCGUAGCUCCUCUAUCACUCCCAACUCAUUUCCAACCAACUCGGCCACCUUCCCAAACCUGGCUCACUCACCCUCUCAGUUCCACUAGAGCAAGAUUUUGCUCGUUGCUCUCUCUCCGACCACCCUUUAGGGGAAAAUCUCUCGAGCUUGUCGUGCUCUUGUCGCCGAGAGUUCGCGAACAACGACGAGAAGAAGCCUGGAGUCCGGUGCCGCGGGAUAGGAAGUUUGUACCGCAAGCAGAAGCCCGGAGUACGUACCGCGAGCACGAGGACUAGUACCGCGAGCCGGAAAUCGAAACGCGUACCGUGAGUUGAAAUACCCAUUUGUUGAGCGAAGGCAAGUUCAAUCCCGCUCCUUUGAUGCAUAUUUUGUCCUAGUUUUUAUAAACACAACCUAUUGGCCUGUUUUAUAAAAUUGCAUAUAUUUUACCUGCUGAAAA